GACGAACGCUGGCGGCGUGCCUAAUACAUGCAAGUAGAACGCUGAAGGAGGAGCUUGCUUCUCUGGAUGAGUUGCGAACGGGUGAGUAACGCGUAGGUAACCUGCCUGGUAGCGGGGGAUAACUAUUGGAAACGAUAGCUAAUACCGCAUAAGAGUAGAUGUUGCAUGACAUUUGCUUAAAAGGUGCAAUUGCAUCACUACCAGAUGGACCUGCGUUGUAUUAGCUAGUUGGUGGGGUAACGGCUCACCAAGGCGACGAUACAUAGCCGACCUGAGAGGGUGAUCGGCCACACUGGGACUGAGACACGGCCCAGGCUCCUACGGGAGGCAGCAGUAGGGAAUCUUCGGCAAUGGACGGAAGUCUGACCGAGCAACGCCGCGUGAGUGAAGAAGGUUUUCGGAUCGUAAAGCUCUGUUGUAAGAGAAGAACGAGUGUGAGAGUGGAAAGUUCACACUGUGACGGUAUCUUACCAGAAAGGGACGGCUAACUACGUG
RNAcentral lists this ribosomal RNA (495 nucleotides) under uncultured bacterium. Its description in RNAcentral is "partial 16S ribosomal RNA". It matches the Rfam family "Bacterial small subunit ribosomal RNA", at positions 28 to 507 of the family's 1533-position model. The record is from RNAcentral.